This 403-nucleotide ribosomal RNA is filed under the name Bacteroidota bacterium. RNAcentral's name for it is "Bacteroidetes bacterium partial 16S ribosomal RNA". It matches the Rfam family "Bacterial small subunit ribosomal RNA", at positions 355 to 776 of the family's 1533-position model. The record is from RNAcentral. Lineage: Bacteria; Pseudomonadati; Bacteroidota.
UGGGGAAUCCUGCACAAUGGGGGCAACCCUGAUGCAGCGACGCCGCGUGAGCGAUGAAGGUUUUCGAAUCGUAAAGCUCUGUCCUAUGGGAAGAUAAUGACGGUACCAUAGGAGGAAGCCCCGGCUAACUACGUGCCAGCAGCCGCGGUAAUACGUAGGGGGCGAGCGUUGUCCGGAAUUACUGGGCGUAAAGGGUUCGCAGGCGGCAUGGCAAGUCCGAUGUAAAAGGCGAAGGCUUAACCUUCGUAAGCAUCGGAAACUGUCAAGCUUGAGUGAAGGAGAGGCAAGUGGAAUUCCUAGUGUAGCGGUGGAAUGCGUAGAUAUUAGGAGGAAUACCGGUGGCGAAGGCGACUUGCUGGACUUCAACUGACGCUGAGGAACGAAAGCGUGGGUAGCAAACAGG